CAAACUGUUUGAGGGAGAAUACUCUAUGAUAUGAUUAAGAAUCUCUGGCCAGAGUAUGAAUGAGAUUUAGAAAAGUCGUUCUAAAUCACAUUCAAGGUAAUCAUAUAAGCACACGAAUCACAUUGGACAGUAGACAUGAAUAAAUAAACUAUCAAACCAAACAAUGUGGUCAAGAGUAUUGUAUUAGAGAAAGACAGUAUUGCAUUUGUAAUCCCAAACUGAAUAGGUUUUCUCUACCUCUUCUGAUUAGCUUGGGUAACCAUG
RNAcentral lists this long non-coding RNA (264 nucleotides) under Malus domestica (apple). RNAcentral describes it as "long non-coding RNA (MDOM_LNC018724)". Lineage: Eukaryota; Viridiplantae; Streptophyta; Magnoliopsida; Rosales; Rosaceae. The record is from RNAcentral.